AAAUAUCUCUCAUUCUUCGAAGAAGUCAGAAACUGAAGCGCUCGGAGACUGUCAAUCUCACAUAGUCAAAGACUGUGUAUACCAGGGGUACUACAAUGCCAGAACGCUGUCAUAUCUUUUAUGCAGCUCAGUUUUUAUGGACCACUUAAAGUGAAAUGGCACUUCACUAAGGUCUUUCAGCUCUCUCUUUCUUAAUGAGAAGACUGUUAAGAAGACUGACAUCUGAAGUUGUGAUUUUGUGACAAGACAGUUAUCCUUUGGGAAGAGGACAAAAACCACUAGGUUAUUUAAUGAAUGAUAUUGAGGGGAGAGUCAUCUAAUUUUAGUUGCUCUUUCACUGAACAAGUUUUAAAUCCAAAGCUGAGAAGACAAAGAAACACUUUUGAGUCAGGAAGCAGCAAGACUGAAGUGGCAGCAUAAGGGAAGAUGAACUGGGAGCUGAGGGUGACAACUCAUCAGCACAAGGAUCCCAACCAGCAGUCAAUGAUGAGGUUGUGCUUCUGGAGCCAAGACAGCCUGAGGAUGACAGGAUAGAGUGAUUAAGUUGGUGUUGGAGCAGAUGAGUGGAAAUCAAAUCAACUUACACCAGCAGGGGUCUAAGGUUGCAUGUGUUGUCUUGGAUGGGAACCAUGAAGUCCUGGAGAAAGGCAAGCCCAUGGAAGAAAGCAGUAGCCUUUGACUCUGGACACUGAGGACUUGUAGGAUUACAUUUUGUAGAGAUGCCAUCUCUUUUCCUCAGCUGAAGAGUCUGCAAAGAUUUUAUUCUGCUAUAAACCCUUAGAAGUAUGGUGGUGACUAUUGUAAUACAAAGAGUGAUUUAGCCAGGUCUUGGAAAGCAUUAUCUACAAAGUUUUUCAAAAUUAUUACAGAGCUUACAAGACUGGGUGAUGUCUAUAAUGCUUCAUAAAAUAUCCCAUCUAAAUAAAGCUGUUAGAAUGUGGCCUU
This is a long non-coding RNA of Harpia harpyja (harpy eagle), 945 nucleotides long. RefSeq lists it as uncharacterized. The record is from RefSeq and is a predicted model, not a curated record. NCBI's taxonomy places the organism in Eukaryota, Metazoa, Chordata, Aves, Accipitriformes, Accipitridae. The transcript is spliced from 3 exons.